GAUGAAGAACGUAGCGAAAUGCGAUAAGUAAUGUGAAUUGCAGAAUUCGGUGAAUCAUCGAAUCUUUGAACGCACAUUGCGCCUGCCAGUAUUCUGGCGGGCAUGCCUGUUCGAGCGUCAUUACAACCCUCAGGCCCCCGGGCCUGGCGUUGGGGAUCGGCGGAGCCCCCCGUGGGCACACGCCGUCCCCCAAAUGCAGUGGCGGUCCCGCCGCAGCUUCCAUCGCGUAGUAGCUAACACCUCGCGACUGGAGAGCGGCGCGGCCACGCCGUAAAACACCCAACUCUUCUGAAGUUGACCUCGAAUCAGGUAGGAAUACCCGCUGAACUUAAGCAUAUCAAUAAGCGGAGGA
This 352-nucleotide unclassified non-coding RNA is filed under the name soil metagenome. RNAcentral's name for it is "partial contains 5.8S ribosomal RNA, internal transcribed spacer 2, and large subunit ribosomal RNA". The stretch from base 1 to 120 matches the Rfam family "5.8S ribosomal RNA", at positions 35 to 154 of the family's 154-position model. The record is from RNAcentral.